This 231-nucleotide unclassified non-coding RNA is filed under the name uncultured Alphaproteobacteria bacterium. RNAcentral describes it as "contains 16S-23S intergenic spacer region". Lineage: Bacteria; Pseudomonadati; Pseudomonadota; Alphaproteobacteria. The record is from RNAcentral.
UCCGGUUUAUCACGCGGCAGUCCCGGCGAGUCACAUGUCAAGGGCUGGUAAGGUUCUGCGCGUUGCGUCGAAUUGAACCACAUGCUCCACCGCUUGUGCGGGCCCCCGUCAAUUCCUUUGAGUUUCAACCUUGCGGCCGUACUCCCCAGGCGGGGUGCUUAACGCGUUAGCUGCGACACUGACGAGCAAGCUCGCCAACGUCUAGCACCCAUCGUUUACGGCGUGGACUAC